CUUUCUGGAUGAGCAUUUUCUGGUUUGAUUUUGGCCUUAUUCAGCUCUUUGAGUACGGUUUUAGUACCAGCAAGUUGCAGAGAACUACUGCAUUGUUUGUUUAUCUAGCUAUCUAACAACUUGCAAGGCAAGUAUCACGGUCACGUUCAUAUUACCCACCUUGAUGCUGCAGACUCCCACUGUGGUUCCAGCAACAGCUUUUCCAGAACCUUCCAGCCAGUGGAGGGAGUAUGAGACCCCAGCUCAUCGCAGGUUAAACCCAAAGCCCACACUCUGGAACACCACAGCUGCAGGACACAGAAUACAUCUCACACAGCACAAGGAAACUUCUGGAGGCCAUCCCUAACAACAGCAGCAGCUUGGCAGCCAGAGGUGUGCAGCAGCAGUUUUCUUAGGGUUGCCAUAGCAACACCCACCGAUGGCAACCUGCAAACAGUGCAGUCCAGGUAAGAGGGGGAAAAAAUAUUGUUUGUCAUGUUUUCACAAUUUGAAGACAUAAUUGUCUAUCUUUAGUCUAUUUGACUAUUUCCUCCUCCCAAACAAAAACAUGCAUCUGUGCCAUACCCGAGGCAUUGUGCACUUUAAAAAGAACUGUAUGCUACUUAUUCUUCAUAAUGUUUAGCCAGUAAAUAUGACUUAUUUUAUACAUUGUAAUGUGUACAGUGCCUCCAGAAAGUUUGCACAUCCCUUGACUUUUUUAUUGAUCAAAUAGAGAUGUAUUGUCACUGGCGUACACACAAUAAAUACCACAUAAUGUCAAAGUGGAAUGAUGUUUUUUGAAUUUUUUAAAAAUUAAUUAAAACUGAAAAGCUGAAAUGUCUUGAGUCAAUAAGUAUUGAAGCCCUUUGUUCUGGCAAGCCUAAAAGUUGCCUGGACUCUGUGUGCAAUUAUAGUGUUUUAACAUGCUUUUUUUAAUGACCCCCUCAUCUCUGUACCCCACACAUGCAAUUAUCUGUAAGGUCUCUCAGU
Molecule: long non-coding RNA, 969 nt
Organism: Oncorhynchus keta (chum salmon)
Lineage: Eukaryota; Metazoa; Chordata; Actinopteri; Salmoniformes; Salmonidae
Exons: 3
Source: RefSeq, a predicted model, not a curated record